Molecule: ribosomal RNA, 104 nt
Filed under: Monodelphis domestica (gray short-tailed opossum)
Lineage: Eukaryota; Metazoa; Chordata; Mammalia; Didelphimorphia; Didelphidae
Source: RNAcentral
AUCUAUAGUCAUACUACCCUGAACAUACCUAAUCUCAUCUGAUCUCAGAAACUAAGCAGGAAUGAGUCUGGUUUUCUUUGGAUAGGAGACCAGAGCCCUAAGUC